CUCACAGGCAACCAAUCCGGAUGCUGCGGUAGAGACCGUCAGCGACAGUUUCCGGCAGACCCUCAGGAUCGAGGGUGACUUGUUGUUUCUCCAAUUUGAUGGGUCAGUGCACUGCGUCGGAGAAUUUGACUGCACCUCGGCAUGCUUCCAAUGAAGGGCAAAAGUGAGGACUGCAGAUGCUGGAAACCAGAGUUUAGAUCAGAGUGGUGCUAGAAAAGAACAGCAGAUAUCCUCUAGGAGAAACUUCUGCUCAUUCACUACUGGACGACAUUCAAGAAGUGUAACAUAUCAAAAAUAGCAGAGGAGAUUGGAUAUAGAAUAAAAAUAGAGAGAUGCUAUGCUGCCAAAGCCCCAGUUUAUUCAGCCUCCUCCCUCU
Molecule: non-coding RNA, 376 nt
Organism: Chiloscyllium plagiosum (whitespotted bambooshark)
Lineage: Eukaryota; Metazoa; Chordata; Chondrichthyes; Orectolobiformes; Hemiscylliidae
Source: RefSeq, a predicted model, not a curated record